RNAcentral lists this ribosomal RNA (543 nucleotides) under Athanas polymorphus. RNAcentral's name for it is "partial large subunit ribosomal RNA". It matches the Rfam family "Bacterial large subunit ribosomal RNA", at positions 1819 to 2625 of the family's 2925-position model. The record is from RNAcentral. Lineage: Eukaryota; Metazoa; Arthropoda; Malacostraca; Decapoda; Alpheidae.
GUCUGCGUGAAAAAUAUGCGCAGUCUGACCUGCCCACUGAAUAGCGUUUUAAAGGGCUGCGGUAAUUUGACCGUGCGAAGGUAGCAUAAUCAUUAGUCUUUUGAUUGAAGGCUUGAAUGAAUGGUUGGACGAUAAAAUAACUGUCUUGUUUGUUAAUAUUAAGAAUUUAACUUUUAUGUGAAAAGGCAUAAAUAUUUUAGGGGGACGAUAAGACCCUAUAAAACUUUACAUAGUUUAUUUAUUCUUUAAAGAUUAGUGAACCGAGAGGAGGUGUAAUAUGUUGGGCUGGGGUGGCAAGAAUAUAAAGAUUAACUGUUCAAAAAUAUAAAUAUAAAUAUAUAGAUAUUGAACCUUCAUUCUGAGGGUUAAAAGAUUAAGUUACUUUAGGGAUAACAGCGUGAUUUUCUUUGAGAGUUCUUAUCGACAAGAAUGAGUUGCGACCUCGAUGUUGAAUUAAGGUUAGUUUUUAGGCGGAGAAGCUUGAAGCUAUAGGUCUGUUCGACCUUUAAUAUCUUACAUGAUUUGAGUUCAAACCGGUGUGAG